ACCGAGAGCUUCCGAGACAUCCAUACAGGGGAGGGUAUAGUCACCUAAAACCUCCUCUCGUCACCCGUCUUUUUCUCGCAGGGUAUCUGACUGAGUGACUGACCGGCAGAAAGAGGAGCGCGCCGUGAAUCUGCAGGAGCCGCGACCCGCGGAGCGCCACCAACAUGAAUCCUUCUCCGGACACCAGGACUUGAGACCUUCGGUCUACCUCUUCCACUCUUAUGUUAUUACACUGCUCCUUCCCUUGGUCACCUUAUUAUUUACGUUAUAAAUACGUCUAAGCUUUCUUCACUUGGAAAUACACCAGAACUGAGCAUGUUGUGGAAAACGGGACUAAUCUUCUUGUGCUGGGGCUUGACGUCCGGGGAGCUUCAGGAGAGGCAGUCCGGCGCUCCCGCUGCUCCAGCGCGAGCGACUUUGGAUUUCGGCUUCGUCCCCUCCGGAGUUUAUGAUACCGUCGCCUAUUACGAGCCCGGUCCCAUUGGGAUCUUAUUUAACAUGAUGCACGCGUUCCUCUUCGUGGUUCAGCCUAACCCGUUCCCUGAAGAUCUGGUCAUUGGAGUGGCAAAGGAUAAGUUUGGGGCCAUACAAUCUGAGUACCAGAAGCCAGAAAACAUUGUUCUGACGUUACAGGUGAUUUAUUAUGAGAUUGGUUUUCUUGUGUGUGCCGCGGUGGGGCUGCUGUUCACCGUCUUGUUGCCGCUGGUUGGGCUGCUCUUCUGCUUGUGCCGCUGCUGCGACAACUGUGGAGGUGAGAUGCACCAGAGACAGAGGAAGAAUGCAGAAUGCCUACGAGGACUGCUGACCACGCUGUUACUCACCACCACUUUCAUCAUCACGGCAGGGGUCCUUUGUGCAUACGCUGCCAAUCAAAACCUGAGUUCUCAGCUGAAGAGCAUGAGGAAGCUGGUGAAAAGUAACUUGAAAGACCUGCACACCUUCGCCAAUCAGACCCCAGCACAAAUCGAUUACUUGAUCUCUCAGUACGGCACUGUGAAGGAACAUGUGCUCUAUGACCUUGAGAAUGUAGGUCUGCUCUUGGGUGGAAAGAUACACGAGGAGUUGGGAAAAGAUGUGCAGCCUGCGCUUGAUGCAGCUCUCAGCAUGUAUGCAACAAUGCAAGACACCAAGGAUGCUCUAGAGAACGUGAGUUUGACGUUGGAGACUUUGCAAGACGGAACAAGCAAACUGCAGGCUAACCUCAGCAGUGUGCGUAGCGGCCUCAACAACGCCCUCAAUGAUCCUGUCUGCGCAGACAUGCGCUCACCCGCAGCCGACGUCUGCCGCAACAUACGCAGCACCCUUCCCAGACUAGAAAUCUCAGCCAACUACUCAUCGUUGCCUGAUGUAACUGACCAGUUAGACAAAGUGAAUGAAGUUCUAAGGACGGAUCUCGGGCACAUAGUUGAAAAGGGAUUUACAUCUUUCAAUGACACGCCCACCAUGGUAAAAGACCAAACCCGAAGUAUCAUUGAAGCUGCGCUUUCUUCUGUAGGGGUCAGAGGUCUGCUGGACAACAUUGGCUCUAACAUCUCUAAUUUCACCAAGCACUUUCCAGUUCACAGCACUCUGACCAACUUCACAAAAAUGAUCACUCACACACACUCACAAAUAGAGGACAUCUACCCACAGAUUGAUCAGAUGGAUUUCUACAGGUGGAUUUGUUGCAUUACCCUUUGCUGCAUGGUGGUGCUAAUCUUGGCCUUCAAUUUUUUGGGUCUGUUGUGCGGCAUUCUGGGAUUUGACCGGCACACUUCCCCGACCACACGCGGAUGUGUGUCCAACACGGGAGGAAACCUGCUUAUGGCCGGCGUGGGAUUCAGCUUCCUGUUCUCCUGGGUGCUCAUGGGAGUGAUAACAGUUCUGUUCUUGGUUGGGGGAAAUCUGGAGAAGCUCGUGUGUGAACCUUUCCAAACCCGACAACUGUUCAAGGUGCUGGAUACUCCCAACCUUGUUCAGUCUUCUUGGAAAAACUUCAUACCAGGAUAUCUGUACAAUGACCCCGAAAUGGAUCUUACAGUGGAUUCUCUCUACAGUAACUGCAAGGACAACAGGGGGAUUUACACGGCUCUUAACCUGGAUAAGAUCUUCAAUAUGGCAGCGUUCUUUAACACCAGUGUUUACUCCAGGGACGUGUCGACAAAGUUUGAAGGGAUGAAGGUGGAUCUGCGGGGCAUUGUUCUUCUGGAGUCUGAGGGCAAACAGAAUCUCAUCAGCUUCACUGAAACUGGCAUUAAUGAGAUCAACUUUGCAGCUUAUUUGGCAGAGCUUAAUAAAGGCGUGACACGCAUUGAUCUGCUCACAUUUGCCAAUGACCUCGAUUCUCAAGCUGAUCAGUUGGUUAGAGGAACAUUGCAGACUUCAUUAAAGGGACAUGCUAACACUGUCAGGCGGAUCUACAACCAGCAGGUCAUCCCUCUGGAGCAGUCCAUGAAAUACGUGAAAGCAAGGAGCACGCUUAACCAGAGCAUCAGAUUCCUGGAGAGAACUUCCUCAGAUUUGCCUGUCAGAGUUUCAGCCGUAUUAGCAGCCGUUGAUGCCGCCCAGUUUCUAAUUUCCAACAAUGCAACACUGGUGGUCAAUCAGGAAACUGAGAAAUACAUACAGACUCUCAUUGGAUAUUUCAAACAGUAUAUGGACUGGAUCAAGACAUCUCUAGCCAUGGAGGUAGCUACCUGUAAACCCUUCAGUAAUAUUGUGGACACAGUCGAGAUCCUGGGCUGCAGUUUUCUGCUGGAUUCAAUGAACACAUUCUGGUUUGGACUGGGCUGUUCCACGCUGUUUUUGCUCCCUAGCAUUAUCCUCUCUGUGAAGCUCUCCAAGUUUUACCGCAGAAUGGACACAGAGGAUGUAUAUGACGAGUCCUCAGUCUCGGGGACUUGGCAUUUCACAUUAUGAUAACCAUUCUUGCUAUUUCCUUCUUCAUUCUUUAUGUCUCCGUCCAGCACUUUGCACUUUACAAAAUAUAUGUACAGUAUAUAUUAUACGAUGUGUUUUUUCAACAUCCAUGUGUUUACAGUCGAAAAUCAUUGCGAUUGACUAGUCACCAAGUGUCUUGAGCAGAGAAUCCAUUUUGACAUCUGCGUGAUAUCUCUGCAUCACUCCAGUGUAACAUGUUUGCUUGUCUUGCUUGUAUCUUUUUAGCAUUGAGAUUCCUAUGAAAACGUAAGCCGUUUUCCGUUACGCUUUUGCUGUCCACUAUUUGAAGACAUCUCUUUCCUGUUUUGUACAUAAAUCUUUCUGCUUAAUGGUGCUGGUUUAAGCUACACGCCUUGGAAUGCUUCCCUGGUGAAGGGCAUUGCUCGUGUUGUUGUGUUAUCUUCUAAAGCUCCCUUGUUUCACACAAAGGGCUGAUAAAACAGAAACCUUAAGAUCAAAAGUACUACACGUACAUUUUAUGAUAAACGAUUGAUAUUUCUACUUAAACUGUUUCGUGCUCUACCUUGCGUGGACGUUUUCCAAAAGCACGUCUUGGAAGUGAAGCUUGUUUCUGGUCGCAUGCCAUUUCUGUCAUGUCAUGUUUGUUUAUUUAUUUUUUGUGUGUAAUGUUUUAUUUCAGUAUGGAAAUUGGUAAUAAUGGUUAUUAUAAUGAACAUUUAGAAGGUGUCCAAAACCCUGUAAUGAGAAGGUAAACAGAACCAUAGCUCCGUACACCCCGCGUUUGUCAUGCUCAUGAAUUGCAUGCAUUGGUGGAGGCGGAUUGUUUGAGGUGAUAAAAAUGAUUAUGAACUAUGAAAGGUCCGAUGCAUGCUCGGUUUAAAGUUGCCCUUCCCACAAACAAGCACCUGGGAGUCAGCUCUUUGUUUUCUUCUUUGUUUGCUAUGCUUGGUGUAAGCAUGCUGGCUAAUUUAAAGGUGAAGUGUGUCAUUUAUAUUAGCAGCACUAAACGGAAAGAAACAAAAAUAGUGAUCCACCUACCAUCGGUCGGUCAGAUAACAGAUAGCCCCGCCCCAAACUCACGCCAUUGGUUGGACCAGUGCCAUUACAUGGAAGGAAUAGUUCAACUUCAAAAUAAAAAUUCUGUCAUUAUUUACUCACCCUAUUUUCAUUUCAAACCUGUAUGACUGUCUUUCUUUACAUUUUAUUUUUCAAUAUGAAAAAUUACCGAGGUCCGGACCUCUGUGACCUCAUAGCUGGCGAGUAAAAUGAUGACAGAAUUUUCAUUUUGAAGUUGACCUAUUCCUUUAAGCCCACUCGAGCCACAGAUUUCAAUUUCUUUUGGUGCUACUAAAAUAACACAUUUCACAUUUAUUUGAGACAGUAAAGAAUUUGUGCUUUGCACACACUUUUGCAUGGUAUUUAAAUUUACACUAACAAUGCAUGCAUUUGCUUAUUGAGCUAGCAAAGUAACAGGGUUGAAUUUGUACAUGUGCAUUUUUUUUUUUGCAUUGCUUCGCUUGUGCAUUUUUGCACGUGACUCUUGAAGAUCUAACCAGGCUGUGAUUGGUUAAUUUCUUCAGUCAGUUCAUCAUCCCUAACAGCAUGAUUCUAAGUUCAAGUUGCUCUGGAACCCACCAGACAUAGGUGAGGAUGGUGAGCUUGAAUGACACAAAGACUCUACAUGUAGAUUAAAUCUAGCUUGUAUAAUGAAAAUUCAGGAAUGGUUCACCCAAAUGUUGGUAACCAAACAACGGCGGUAUCCUUUAACUUCUAUUGUAUGGACACAAAACCAAUGCAAGUCAAUGGGUACCGCCGUUUUUCGGUUACCAACGUUCUUCAAAAUAUCUUCUUUUGUGUUCUGCAGAAGAAAGAAAGAAAGUCAUACAGGUUUGAAAUGACAAGAGGGUAAGUGAAUGAUGAAUUUUCAUUUUUGGGUGAAUUAUCACUUGCGUUAUUAAUAAAUAGGCUGCAAGUCAUUUUAACAGCCAUUUUGCUGACUUCAGCUUCCCUCUUCAACCCCGACCUCCAACGACAGAUCAGCAUGAUUAUAAGCAAAGAAGGUUUCUGAUUGGUCAGUGAUAUAUGUCAUUGUUGGCAGGUGUAGAGCUCUGUGUGUUAUAUCAAGCGCCCAUCCUGCUCUUUAAGAUCAAUGGGUUAAAGAUGGAUGAAGAAGGUGGUGGUGUUGAAUUCCCUUCUUGACAGUUUUUAUUCUUGUGUCUCAAGCCUCCCUGCCUAUGAUACUAUGACUCGAUUCCCACGGGCCUCUGCGCCCCCCCGCCAUCCCGACUGGUGACUCUGAGGAGACAAGCCUGGUUUUUAACUACAGUAAGCUGACCAGCAAGCCGAACUCACAGACUGACAACAUUUAAGAAGGAUAGUCAAAAAUGAAGCUGUCCGUGCUCCCAUUUCAUCAAUUCUUUCGACAAAAUUGUUUUUGUUUUGGUCAUUUUGUUCCCGUGAGAUUAUAGUGCUGUUUUACGGACCAUUUCCUUAAGAGCUAGUCUCUGAUGUCAUCCUGUCACAGAAUCAGGGAGGCUUCACCGUACAUGGCUGUUUUAAUUACUAAACGUGUCUUUGUUUACAGUCUUCGAGAAAUCGCGUGACGGCAUAACAAUGCUACGGCUGCUGCAUUCCUCGCUCGUUUUUGUUUUGUUUUUUUCUUUUUAUAGUGCUUUUUGGUUUGGGGAAUUUUAUGUGUUGAAGUCAAGUCCACUGAAUUUUUACUCUGAACCUCAGAGAAUGAAGGGAUAGAAACAGAGCUAGCCAACCAUCCACGCGCCACAAAUAUUACAUGGAACUAAAAUGUGUGACAAUAGGUUUAAUAAAGUAUGUUUCAAGUGCUAACUGUACGAGCUAGUGCUAAUAAUCUGUGAAGAUAGAUUUUGUCAAGCCAUUUGAAAGGUGAACAGAUUGUUGCCUUUCUCAGAUUUUUUAGUUUAUGAUGCAGGUUAGCUUAGUUACGGUACCUAGAGAAUUAAAGGUAAUAAACAGCCAGGUUUUCUAUACUUUAUUAUAUAUUACUUUAUUGAUGAUGUUUUGCUCAUUGGUUGUUCUCCAAGAGAUUCGUUCGAUAAGUGUUUACGAUUUUUUAUUUCGGCGAUAUAACAUUUAUGGACAUUUAUCUGUUGAAGUGAAGUUAUUGUCAACUUAAAAACAAGUGAAUGUACCUCAUAAACGUUUUUUUGCCUGAAAGCUGAAGAUCACAACAAAGCCCAUAUACAAUAUAGAGGGGGUUAGGAUUUCUCCUCACACUUUACUUGCUGAACAGAGCCUACCUAACACUGUCAUAACCAUUGACAACUAUUUAAUCAAAUUCUAAGUUGCAAGACCUUUUGUCAGGUGCUACAUAUUUUCUCUCAGAACCUUCACGUUUUUGCAGUGCUACGCUGUGUAUAUGUCAGUGUUAUUAGGUCCUCAGGUAAAGUGAUUUCUAUCCAGAAAGGUCUCUCUCUGUUCACCUCGAAAUUUCACCGUUUCGCCAUAUCAAGCUUACAGUAGCAUGCGCAUUGGUGUUCGAUCUUACUCGAGAUGUGUAGUUGUGGUGGGACUGGUGGUCAGUGCCGUUGGUUUUUAAGUCCAUGUGGUUAGGCUGGCUGAAACUGUAAAAUAUUGUGAAUAAAAUUUCAGAUUCAAAUAACGUUUUCUCUGGUGUUGUAUGUUCAAGGUUUAACAACUGUAAAAAGGAAUCUGGGCUAAACAAGAAUGGAUUGAUGUUAUUUUAGAUCAAACAAGGUGCAUUAGUUCAAUUUGAGUGUUAACAGGUAUUA
Triplophysa rosa is the source of this 6647-nucleotide RNA transcript. It is a transcript of the gene named prominin 1a, with no coding region annotated. NCBI's taxonomy places the organism in Eukaryota, Metazoa, Chordata, Actinopteri, Cypriniformes, Nemacheilidae. The record is from RefSeq and is a predicted model, not a curated record. The transcript has 26 exons.